UCCUACGGGAGGCAGCAGUGAGGAAUUUUCGGCAAUGGGGGCAACCCUGACCGAGCAACGCCGCGUGCAGGAAGAAGGUCUUCGGAUCGUAAACUGCUUUUCUCUGGGAAGAGCAAGGACGGUACCAGAGGAAUCAGCACCGGCUAACUACGUGCCAGCAGCCGCGGUA
This 169-nucleotide ribosomal RNA is filed under the name uncultured bacterium. Its description in RNAcentral is "partial 16S ribosomal RNA". It matches the Rfam family "Bacterial small subunit ribosomal RNA", at positions 337 to 522 of the family's 1533-position model. The record is from RNAcentral.